Molecule: ribosomal RNA, 662 nt
Filed under: Sphingobacteriales bacterium TP395
Lineage: Bacteria; Pseudomonadati; Bacteroidota; Sphingobacteriia; Sphingobacteriales
Description: bacterial SSU rRNA
Rfam family: Bacterial small subunit ribosomal RNA
Source: RNAcentral
GNCUGACCCAGCCAUGCCGCGUGCAGGAUGAAGGCUUUCUGAGUCGUAAACUGCUUUUGCCAGGGAAGAAAAAAGGGGAUGCGUCCUCUACUGACGGUACCUGGUGAAUAAGCACCGGCUAACUCCGUGCCAGCAGCCGCGGUAAUACGGAGGGUGCAAGCGUUGUCCGGAUUUAUUGGGUUUAAAGGGUGCGUAGGCGGCUGAUUAAGUCUGGGGUGAAAGCCCGUUGCUCAACAACGGAACUGCCCUGGAAACUGGUUGGCUUGAGUACAGACGAGGGUGGCGGAAUGGAUGCUGUAGCGGUGAAAUGCAUAGAUAGCAUCCAGAACCCCGAUUGCGAAGGCAGCUGCCUAGACUGUAACUGACGCUGAGGCACGAAAGCGUGGGGAGCGAACAGGAUUAGAUACCCUGGUAGUCCACGCCGUAAACGAUGGAUACUCGCUGGUGGCGAUAGACGGUCACUGGCUUAGCGAAAGCGUUAAGUAUCCCACCUGGGGAGUACGCCCGCAAGGGUGAAACUCAAAAGAAUUGACGGGGGCCCGCACAAGUGGUGGAGCAUGUGGUUUAAUUCGAUGAUACGCGAGGAACCUUACCUAGGCUAGAAUGCGCGUGACCGCUUGAGAGAUCAAGCUUUCCUUCGGGACACAAAGCAAGGUGCUGCA